GUGCACCAGGCGAGAAUCUUCGGCAAUGGGCGCAAGCCUGACCGAGCGACGCCGCGUGCGGGAUGAAGGCCUUCGGGUUGUAAUCCGCUGUCAGAGGGGAGGAAAUGGCGGCCCUCAGGGUCGUCUUGACCAAACCUCAGAGGAAGGACGGGCUAAGUUCGUGCCAGCAGCCGCGGUAAGACGAACCGUCCAAACGUUAUUCGGAAUUACUGGGCUUAAAGGGUGCGUAGGCGGCCUGGCAAGUUGGGUGUGAAAGCCCUCGGCUCAACCGAGGAAUUGCGCCCAAAACUGCUAGGCUUGAGGGAGACAGAGGUGAGCGGAACUUGGGGUGGAGCGGUGAAAUGCAUUGAUAUCCCAAGGAACACCAGAGGCGAAAGCGGCUCACUGGGUCUCUUCUGACGCUGAGGCACGAAAGCUAGGGGAGCGAACGGGAUUAGAUACCCAGGUAGUCC
Molecule: ribosomal RNA, 452 nt
Filed under: Planctomycete enrichment culture
Lineage: Bacteria; Pseudomonadati; Planctomycetota; Planctomycetia; Planctomycetales
Description: bacterial SSU rRNA
Rfam family: Bacterial small subunit ribosomal RNA
Source: RNAcentral